UACGGAGGGUGCGAGCGUUAAUCGGAAUUACUGGGCGUAAAGCGCGCGUAGGUGGUUUGUUAAGUCGGAUGUGAAAGCCCCGAGCUUAACUUGGGAAUUGCAUUCGAUACUGCCUUACUUGAGUGUGGUAGAGGGUAGCGGAAUUCCUGGUGUAGCGGUGAAAUGCGUAGAUAUCAGGAGGAACAUCAGUGGCGAAGGCGGCUACCUGGACCAACACUGACACUGAGGUGCGAAAGCGUGGGUAGCAAACAGG
This 253-nucleotide ribosomal RNA is filed under the name uncultured bacterium. RNAcentral's name for it is "partial 16S ribosomal RNA". It matches the Rfam family "Bacterial small subunit ribosomal RNA", at positions 524 to 776 of the family's 1533-position model. The record is from RNAcentral.